RNAcentral lists this transfer RNA (77 nucleotides) under Gammaproteobacteria bacterium. RNAcentral describes it as "tRNA-Ile". It matches the Rfam family "tRNA". Rfam says of the family: Transfer RNA (tRNA) molecules are approximately 80 nucleotides in length. Their secondary structure includes four short double-helical elements and three loops (D, anti-codon, and T loops). Lineage: Bacteria; Pseudomonadati; Pseudomonadota; Gammaproteobacteria. The record is from RNAcentral. RNAcentral also lists the same sequence under 3 other names.
GGGCCUGUAGCUCAGCUGGUUAGAGCAUCCGACUCAUAAUCGGCAGGUCGAAGGUUCGAGUCCUUCCAGGCCCACCA